This is a small nuclear RNA of Otolemur garnettii (small-eared galago), 163 nucleotides long. Its record names the gene U1. It matches the Rfam family "U1 spliceosomal RNA". From Rfam's summary of the family: U1 is a small nuclear RNA (snRNA) component of the spliceosome (involved in pre-mRNA splicing). Its 5' end forms complementary base pairs with the 5' splice junction, thus defining the 5' donor site of an intron. The record is from Ensembl. Lineage: Eukaryota; Metazoa; Chordata; Mammalia; Primates; Galagidae.
AUACUUGCCUGGCAGGGGAGAUACCGGGAUCACGGAGGUGGUUUUCCUUCGCCAGGCUUGUGCAUCACACUCCAGAUGUGCUGACCCCUACGAUUUCCCCAAAUGUGGGAAACUUGACUGUAUAAUUUGUGGUAGUGGGGAACUGCGUUUACACUCUCCCCAG